AGAUUGAACGCUGGCGGCAGGCCUAACACAUGCAAGUCGAGCGGCAGCACGGGUACUUGUACCUGGUGGCGAGCGGCGGACGGGUGAGUAAUGCCUAGGAAUCUGCCUGAUAGUGGGGGAUAACGCUCGGAAACGGACGCUAAUACCGCAUACGUCCUACGGGAGAAAGCAGGGGACCUUCGGGCCUUGCGCUAUCAGAUGAGCCUAGGUCGGAUUAGCUAGUUGGUGGGGUAAUGGCUCACCGAAGGCGACGAUCCGUAACUGGUCUGA
RNAcentral lists this ribosomal RNA (270 nucleotides) under uncultured soil bacterium. RNAcentral's name for it is "partial 16S ribosomal RNA". It matches the Rfam family "Bacterial small subunit ribosomal RNA", at positions 26 to 295 of the family's 1533-position model. The record is from RNAcentral.